Molecule: ribosomal RNA, 236 nt
Filed under: uncultured bacterium
Lineage: Bacteria
Description: partial 16S ribosomal RNA
Rfam family: Bacterial small subunit ribosomal RNA
Source: RNAcentral
GAUCAUGGCUCAGGAUGAACGCUGGCGGCGUGCUUAACACAUGCAAGUCGAGCGAAGCACUUAAGUUUGAUUCUUCGGAAUGAAGUUUUUGUGACUGAGUGGCGGACGGGUGAGUAACGCGUGGGUAACCUGCCUCAUACAGGGGGAUAACAGUUGGAAACGACUGCUAAUACCGCAUAAGCGCACAGGAUUGCAUGAUCCAGUGUGAAAAACUCCGGUGGUAUGAGAUGGACCCG